Molecule: long non-coding RNA, 683 nt
Filed under: Apis dorsata (giant honeybee)
Lineage: Eukaryota; Metazoa; Arthropoda; Insecta; Hymenoptera; Apidae
Description: uncharacterized LOC102671955
Source: RNAcentral
AAUGUUUUCACAGUCGUUCGUGCACUAAUUCGAUUAGAGUUAUUUUAUUUUUAUUGAAAACUAAUUGCGAAUGAUUCCUUUGAAAACUCAUUUUGAAAUAAUUUUAAAACUACAAAAACAAAAAACAAAUUAAAAUUUAAAUAAUCAAGAAAAUUAAAAAAUUUUAUAGUUUCGAUUUCUUGAUGAAGAAACGUCAGCAAGUCGCGAUUCACGAUAGACACACAGUCAAGAGACGGAACGGGUGUAACUGCUACUACUGGAUUGCUGCUUAGGCCCAAAAUCAGGGCCGUAUGUUUCUUGUAUAGGGCCUUAAAUGGACACGAUACGACUAUGUUCUCCCAUCCGUUUCUUGCUCGUUCAACCGGCUAUGGUGUAUACGUUCACAGGAUACCUGAUCUGCGUAUUUCGAUACUUUAAGGUCGGCCACAAAUAGAAACUUCACUGUUUGUAUUCAAUGUGAAAUUAUUUUAGAAUAACUAUCAAAAAGUGUAACUUUAUAAAAUUAAUGUCAAUCAAUAAUUAUUUGAUAUCAAAAAAGUGCAAUAUUUUGUAGUAUCAUGGUUCAAUUUUAUAAUUAUAAUUUUAUAUUAUUCAAUGUUUCAUUAUGCUAAACAAAUAUUAGAAUGCAAUACUUAAAUGUAUGUAAGGAAUGUGGCUUUCAUACAUUAUAAUUCCAUGACGAU